This 300-nucleotide ribosomal RNA is filed under the name uncultured Enterococcus sp. Its description in RNAcentral is "bacterial SSU rRNA". The stretch from base 53 to 300 matches the Rfam family "Bacterial small subunit ribosomal RNA", at positions 547 to 794 of the family's 1533-position model. The record is from RNAcentral. Lineage: Bacteria; Bacillati; Bacillota; Bacilli; Lactobacillales; Enterococcaceae.
GGUUACGGCGUGCUGUUGGGGCUAGGGAAUACGGAGUGGGGAGAGGGUAAACGGAAUGACUGGGCGUAAGGUGCGUGUUGGGGGCGUGAUAAGGCGGAGGUGAAAUCCCGGUGCUCAACGUGGGGACUGCAUUCGAUACGGUCUGGCUAGAGUGUGGGAGAGGGUGGUGGAAUUCGCGGUGUAGCGGUGAAAUGCGUAGAUAUCGGGAGGAACAUCAGUGGCGAAGGCGACCGCCUGGCCCAACACUGACGCUGAGGUGCGAAAGCGUGGGUAGCAAACAGGAUUAGAUACCCGUGUAGC